Long non-coding RNA from Sus scrofa (pig), 2215 nucleotides. RefSeq lists it as uncharacterized. NCBI's taxonomy places the organism in Eukaryota, Metazoa, Chordata, Mammalia, Artiodactyla, Suidae. The record is from RefSeq and is a predicted model, not a curated record.
UCAUGCCUCAUCCAGGGGAUUCUCAGCUGCCAAUGAUUGACUGAUGCCACAAUAUAAAGGUCUGUCCCAAUUGCCUCAGUUUAGCCCACUUGAGUGUGAUCUUCCCAGAUCCAGCAGCUUUCUGUAGAAUCGACCAAGGUCUCAGUGAAGCCGCAUCACAGAUGAGAAAAUGGAAGGACAGAAAGUUCAAGGAACUUGGCCAAGGCAACACAACCGAGGCUGAAAGUGCUCAGACUGCUCUGAACCCCCCAUCAUGAAAGAAACUAUUGCAAUAAGCUCAUCCUUACUAAGAGGGAAAAUAAAACCUACUCCAAUUGUUAUCAGGUUUUCAUUGGAUCACCUUCAAGUUUCCCAAGUCUGUCUUUUUUUUUUUUUUUUUUUAAUGUAAAGCCUGUUAUAAGAUUAGCAUGUACCAAAUCAAAGAUUACAUUUUAGGGAAUAUUUCAGGGAUCAUGGAAAAAUAAGGCAAGUGACUAUAUUUAAAAUAGUACAAGAAACUGUCUCCAAAGACACAUCCCCUAAGUGGUCAUGUAAUUGAUGUUAUUGUUGUUUUCUUAAAAUCCAGACAAGAUUAGAUAGAAUUCUGUAACUUCGAAAGACAUCCACACCCUUUCCAAUUUUGGCCUCCUAAGCUUAAAAUCUAAAAUAUUUCAAUUCUUGAAAAGAGAAACAUGUAAUUUUUAUUUCCGAAAGAAUACGUUUAGCCAAAAUAUUUUCCUGGAAAUUAUCUUCCCACUGGUGAAUCCUGGAGUCUGAAUUUAGUGCCACCAAUCUCAACACCCGUUGUCUCCCAUAGAGGGAACCUGGUUUUCUCAGCCACAGCUGAUUGCACCAGACAGCCCAGCCAUAACAUUGAGAUCUGUAACCUGCUGCAAAAUUUGAGCUGGGCCACUCAGAACACUCUUUCAGGAAUCUGAAACUAUAGCGACAGUUGUAGCAGCUGAGCUGACAGAUUACAAAGUAACCCAGAUCCACUCUGAGUCAUUUGAAGCUGAAUUUUUGAGGUCAGUAAUCAGCAAAGUGAGGGGAAAAUGGUUCAGAUGAGCAGAGAGGAGCUAUUUAGUAAAAUUUCAUGAGACAGAUCAGCCAUUAGCCAGCCAUUGCUAGUUUUCAGAUUCCACUUGCCAUGAUGCUCAUACAUGCCGCCAUGCCCAAAUACAGGGAUUUUUUUCCCUGUCUCUGUAUUGAUGCAGAAUGACUAUUUCUUCAAGUAGUGCAUGUGCAGCUCUGCUCCUUGUAACCAAAAGAAUACUAAGCAAAACACUAAAACAAAACAAAUGCUCUGCUAUCCCUUACAUUAAAAUAGAAGAAAAUACAAAUAACUUUAGACUAUCCUGAUUACAUUAUUAAAAUAUUUACCUUGGUUCAAAAUUAAGAGAUUAGAUUAGAGCAGCUUGAUUACCCUGCAAAGGUUAUGAAGAGGAAUUUUAUAGAUAGGAAGCAUUUCCCAUGAAAAAGGCACAUAAGACACAUGACCUUUGAGUAAAAAAAAAUGGUAAAAAUGAGAAAAGUUUUGUUUUACACUGUGCAUGUUAUUUUGAUGUUUGACGAUACAAAACACAAAAGUGUUUCACUUGUUUUGCAAACGUGUGGGUCUCAAUGGCUGUAUAAUCCAUCUGUUUCUGAUUUUCCUGCACUUAACUCAUUGAAAUGCUGUUUUGUAAAAAUUAGUUGUUGUCCAAGAAGCCCUUUGAGUCUCCUUUAUGAGCAUAUUUAGCCUUUCUUAGAAACAGGUCUGUUCGCCAAGAGCAAGUGAGCUCGUACAACAAAACAUUCAAAUUUGGAUGGAAACACAAAAUAGAAGAUCAGGUUAGUUUCUUUGGGGGAAAGGGCAGUACACGUAACUUCAGACACAAGUAUUAAUAAAAUUAUCAGACGAAUCUCUUUGUGUUUCCUUAGGGUCUCAGGAGAGAAGCUCAUUUAAGAAAGUAUGAAAGAAUUAAAUUGUUUUAAAUAAAACUUCCUUCAUUGGCAUUGCAGAAAUGAGUAAAAACUCAUAUUCUUUAGUUAGAAUAACCUGCAUAUUUUGUUCAGUGGUCUUCUUGGUGAAAACAUAAAUGUCAAUAAAAAAAUAUACUUUACAGUAAUUUUGCCUGCCUUAAUCAUAUGAAGCACUCAGAGAAAUUGACAAAUUUUAAAAAAUUUUAAAUACUUCAUUCAACACAUUCAUUUAAUAUAGAUUAAGCACCUAUUAUAUGACAGGUAUAAUUCUAUG